UACAGAGGUCUCAAGCGUUGUUCGGAUUCAUUGAGCGUAAAGGGUGUGUAGGCGGAUCGUUAAGUGCCUUGUGAAAUCCCACGGCUUAACUGUGGAACGGCUGGGCAUACUGGCGGUCUUGAGCCAUCUAGGGGCGACUGGAACAAACGGUGGAGCGGUGAAAUGCGUAGAUAUCGUUUGGAACGCCAAUGGUGAAAACAGGUCGCUGGGGAUGAGCUGACGCUGAGACACGAAAGCCAGGGGAGCAAACGGG
Molecule: ribosomal RNA, 253 nt
Filed under: uncultured bacterium
Lineage: Bacteria
Description: partial 16S ribosomal RNA
Rfam family: Bacterial small subunit ribosomal RNA
Source: RNAcentral